GUGUAGUAUGAAAGGAGAGACGUUUAGCACUCCCCUAGACAAGGACGGAAUAACACAUAUAAUGGUAAGAGCACAGCCGCCUCUGGGCGGCGCUUACCACCAUUUUUUU
Molecule: small nuclear RNA, 109 nt
Organism: Aphidius gifuensis
Lineage: Eukaryota; Metazoa; Arthropoda; Insecta; Hymenoptera; Braconidae
Source: RefSeq, a predicted model, not a curated record